CCUACGGGAGGCAGCAGUGAGGAAUAUUGGUCAAUGGACGGAAGUCUGAACCAGCCAUGCCGCGUGCAGGAAGACGGCUCUAUGAGUUGUAAACUGCUUUUGUACAAGGGUAAACCUGAAUACGUGUAUUCAGCUGAAAGUACUGUACGAAUAAGGAUCGGCUAACUCCGUGCCAGGAGCCGCGGUAAUACGGAGGAUACAAGCGUUAUCCGGAUUUAUUGGGUUUAAAGGGUGCGUAGGCGGAUUGAUAAGUGAGCGGGGAAAUGUCCGAGCUUAACUCGGGAACUGACUCUAUUACUGUUGAUCUAGAGAGUAGAUGCGGUAGGCGGAUUGUAUGGUGUAGCGGUGAAAUGCUUAGAGAUCAUACAGAACACCGAUUGCGAAGGCAGCUUACCAAUCUAUAUCUGACGUUGAGGCACGAAAGCGUGGGGAGCAAACAGGAUUAGAUACCCUGGUAGUC
Molecule: ribosomal RNA, 460 nt
Filed under: uncultured bacterium
Lineage: Bacteria
Description: partial 16S ribosomal RNA
Rfam family: Bacterial small subunit ribosomal RNA
Source: RNAcentral